UAGAAAUUUUAAUCCUGAUUUGGAAUUUCU
Molecule: non-coding RNA, 30 nt
Filed under: Rattus norvegicus (Norway rat)
Lineage: Eukaryota; Metazoa; Chordata; Mammalia; Rodentia; Muridae
Source: RNAcentral